Non-coding RNA from Paramuricea clavata, 574 nucleotides. The record is from the annotation of a GenBank genome assembly. Lineage: Eukaryota; Metazoa; Cnidaria; Anthozoa; Malacalcyonacea; Plexauridae.
CUUUGAUUACUGCAGCCCUCUCUGGGACAACUGUGGAAUAGGCCUCAAGGACAGGUUGCAGAAAUUUCAAAAUCGGGCUGCAAGAGUAAUUGCUGGUGCAACUUACGAUGUUCGGUCAGUUGAGUUACUCGAAUGUCUGGGUUGGAAACACCUAGAAUUAAGGCAUUAUCUAAAAUCUGUUUUUAUGUAUAAAAUUCUGAAUAACCACACCGCGCCAAAUCUAAGAACAUCCUUUCGAUUGAUUAAUGAAUGUGAUAAUACCUAUGAUCUUAGAAAUAAAGAAACCGAUUUGUCUCUUCCUACACCGAAUACCGAUUCUGGUAAAAGAUGCUUCAAGUAUAACGGAGCGGUAGUAUGGAGUAAUUUCCCGUAUGGGGUAAAAGUAGCGGAAUCUUUACGUUCUUUUCAAAGAACUAUUAACCAGCCAAACACUUAAAAUUGGCUCGUCCUGUUGCCUAUACUGUACAUAGUAAUUCUUCUUUCUUUUUUUUUGUAUUUUUGUAUAAUCUAGCAAUGUUUAUCUGUAUUUCUUUCUAAAUUCACGCCCCUCAUGGAAAUCAGCUCUGAGUUGUUG